This 683-nucleotide ribosomal RNA is filed under the name Lactiplantibacillus plantarum. Its description in RNAcentral is "bacterial SSU rRNA". It matches the Rfam family "Bacterial small subunit ribosomal RNA", at positions 413 to 1084 of the family's 1533-position model. The record is from RNAcentral. Lineage: Bacteria; Bacillati; Bacillota; Bacilli; Lactobacillales; Lactobacillaceae.
GGGUUUCGGCUCGUAAAACUCUGUUGUUAAAGAAGAACAUAUCUGAGAGUAACUGUUUCAGGUAUUGACGGUAUUUAACCCAGAAAGCCACGGCUAACUACGUGCCAGCAGCCGCGGUAAUACGUAGGUGGCAAGCGUUGUCCGGAUUUAUUGGGCGUAAAGCGAGCGCAGGCGGUUUUUUUAAGUCUGAUGUGAAAGCGUUCGGCUCAACCGAAGAAGUGCAUCGGAAACUGGGAAACUUGAGUGCAGAAGAGGACAGUGGAACUCCAUGUGUAGCGGUGAAAUGCGUAGAUAUAUGGAAGAACACCAGUGGCGAAGGCGGCUGUCUGGUCUGUAACUGACGCUGAGGCUCGAAAGUAUGGGUAGCAAACAGGAUUAGAUACCCUGGUAGUCCAUACCGUAAACGAUGAAUGCUAAGUGUUGGAGGGUUUCCGCCCUUCAGUGCUGCAGCUAACGCAUUAAGCAUUCCGCCUGGGGAGUACGGCCGCAAGGCUGAAACUCAAAGGAAUUGACGGGGGCCCGCACAAGCGGUGGAGCAUGUGGUUUAAUUCGAAGCUACGCGAAGAACCUUACCAGGUCUUGACAUACUAUGCAAAUCUAAGAGAUUAGACGUUCCCUUCGGGGACAUGGAUACAGGUGGUGCAUGGUUGUCGUCAGCUCGUGUCGUGAGAUGUUGGGUUAAG